Molecule: unclassified non-coding RNA, 347 nt
Filed under: soil metagenome
Description: partial contains 5.8S ribosomal RNA, internal transcribed spacer 2, and large subunit ribosomal RNA
Rfam family: 5.8S ribosomal RNA (bases 1-120)
Source: RNAcentral
GAUGAAGAACGCAGCAAAAUGCGAUAAGUAAUGUGAAUUGCAGAAUUCAGUGAAUCAUCGAAUCUUUGAACGCACAUUGCGCCCGCUGGAAUUCCGGCGGGCAUGCCUGUUCGAGCGUCAUUUCAACCCUCAAGCCCCCCGGGUUUGGUGUUGGGGAUCGGCUCUGCCUCACGGCGGUGCCGCCCCCGAAAUACAUUGGCGGUCUCGCUGCAGCCUCCAUUGCGUAGUAGCUAACACCUCGCAACUGGAACGCGGCGCGGCCAUGCCGUAAAACCCCAACUUCUGAAUGUUGACCUCGGAUCAGGUAGGAAUACCCGCUGAACUUAAGCAUAUCAAUAAGCGGAGGA